UUAAUAAGUUUGAUUCUUGCUUAGAAAUUAAUUGUUUUAAUUUAUUACAUGAUUUUUAUUAAAUUUUUUAAUUUCAGUAAUUAAGUUUAUUUAUAUAUUAAUAUAUAUUUAGAAAUUAAAUUAAUAUAGAUUAAAAUUGUGCCAGCAAUCGCGGUUAUACAAUUUAUAUAAAUUAAUUUGUUUGGUUUAAUUUUAAUUAUUUUUUUAUUGAUUUUAUUUAUAUAAUAUUUAGGUGGAAUUUAUUUUAAUUUUAAUCUCAUUAUAUAGUUUAUUAAGUUUUAAUUUUAAACUAGGAUUAGAUACCCUAUUAUUUUAUUAUUUAUUAUUUACCUGAAUAUUAAUAAUUAAGUUUUAUAAAACUCAAAGAAUUUGGCGGUUAAUUAAAUCUUUUUAGAGGAAUUUGUAUUUUAAUUGAUAAACCACGAUAUUUUAAACCUUAAUUUUUAUUUGUAUAUCUCUAUGUUUAGAAUGUUUUUAAAGAAAUAUUCUUUAUUUAUAUUAAUUUUAUAUUAGGUCAAGGUGCAGUUUUAUUAAGGUAAAUAUGAAUUACUUUAAUUAUAAAUUAAUUUUUGGAUUUAUCUUAGUUUAAGGUAUUGAAAUAGGAUUUAAUAGUAAUUUUAAUUAAUUAAUUAUUUUGAAUAAAGUUCUAAUUUAUGCACAUAUCGCCCGUCGCUCUCAUUAAUAUGAGAUAAGUCGUAACAAAGUAAUUGUACUGGAAAGUGUAAUUAGAAUU
Molecule: non-coding RNA, 733 nt
Filed under: Evacanthus heimianus
Lineage: Eukaryota; Metazoa; Arthropoda; Insecta; Hemiptera; Cicadellidae
Source: RNAcentral